RNAcentral lists this ribosomal RNA (2769 nucleotides) under Triticum aestivum (bread wheat). RNAcentral describes it as "partial small subunit ribosomal RNA". Lineage: Eukaryota; Viridiplantae; Streptophyta; Magnoliopsida; Poales; Poaceae. The record is from RNAcentral.
AUGGAUCUGGCGACGGGGGCCAUGGGCAGCCUCCUCCUCAAGCUCGGCGGCCUCCUUACGGACGAGUACAAGCUGCAGGCCGGAGUCAAGGAAGACGUACAGUACCUCAAGAGAGAGCUGACAAGCAUGUACGCCGCCCUCCGCAAGGUCGGGGACGUGCCGCGGGACGAGCUCGACGUGCAAGUCCAGCUCUGGGCCGACGACGUCAGGGACCUCUCAUACAGAAUGGAGGACGUCGUCGACAAGUUCCUGGUGCGCGUCGAGGGCCCCAAGGCUUCUUCCGCUGCCGCCGACAAACCACGCAAGCUCAAACGGCUCAUGGAGAAGAUGGGCGACCUGUUCACCAAGGGCAGGACUCGCCACCAGAUCGCCGACGAGGUCAAGGGCAUCAAGGCCCGAGUCCAGGAGGCAGCUGACCGGCGUGAUAGGUACAAGGUCCAUGAUGUGGUUGCUAGUCCAGCAGGCUCAGCAACGGUUGACCCUCGCCUGAUGUCUCUGUAUAAAGAUCGGAAAGAACUGGUUGGCAUCGAUGAGCCGUUGAGCAACCUAACUGAGAUGCUGACUGAGGGGGAUACUGAUGUGUCCAGGCAACUUAAGAUAGUUUCUAUUGUUGGAUUCGGAGGUCUUGGCAAGACUAGUCUUGCUAAAGCAGUGUAUGAUAAGCUCCAAUGGCAAUUCGAUUGCAGCGCUUUUGUUCCGGUGGGACUGAAAUCUAGCGUGAAGAAACUUCUCAAUGACAUUCUCUUUGAAAUCGACAAGCAAAAGCAUCAGGAUUCUAUUUUAUCUUCAUGGGACGAAAGGCAGCUCAUCGACCAACUCAGAAGAUCACUGGCGACCAAGAGGUACUUCAUCGUGAUUGAUGAUAUGUGGGAUACAGAAGCGUGGGAAAUAAUCAGAUGUGCUCUUGUUGAUAAUAAUUGUGCAAGCAGGAUAGUCACAACUACUCGUAUUCUCGAGGUUGCGACAAAAACCGGUGAAGUAUACAAGCUAAAACCACUUUCUCAUGAUUUAGCUGAGGAACUAUUUCAUACAAGAUUGUUUGGUGGCAAAAACAAAGGCGCUUGUCAUCAGCCAGCAGAGGUAUACGAGAAAAUGUUGCAUAAAUGUGGUGGUGCACCGUUGGCUAUAAUCACAAUGGCUAGCUUGCUUGUUGGUAAACCAGUGGAGUUUUGGUCUAAGGUGUACAACUCAAUUGGUUUUGGAAAUGAAGAUAACAAAGAUGUCCACAACACGAGGAAGAUACUUUUAUUUAGCUACUAUGAUCUUCCUUGCUAUCUAAGGACUUGCUUAUUGUAUAUGAGCAUAUAUCCAGAAGAACAUCUAAUCGAGAAAGAUAGUCUGAUAUGGAAGUGGGUUGCCGAGGGUUUUAUUCAUGAGGAAGCAGGGGUAGGAUUAUAUGAGAUUGGUGAAAGAUAUUUCAACGAGCUGAUAAAUAAAAGCAUGAUACAACCGGUAGAUUCCCACCCGUAUGAUCGCACCAUUACAGGUUACUACGACAUCAUUACGGGUUGCCGUAUUCAUGAUAUGGUUCUUGACAUGAUCUGUCGGUUAGCAAAGGAAGAAAACUUUGUCACUGCAUUGUACAAUAAUGAGCAACAAGCAUAUACAGUACAUGACAAUGUCCGUAGGUUAGCUGUUGGAGACAAAAACUGUCUGGCUAACACAUGUAUGCCACAAGUAAGGUCAUUUAAUGUCUUGAGUACCGAUGUUAAGCUGCCAUCGCUUUCAUGCUUUCAAGUUUUACGUGUCCUAGCUCUAGAAGGUGAUACCUCUUCUGAACAUGACACUACUUGCCUUGAGCAUCUUGGAAAGUUAGUUCACUUGAGGUAUCUUGGACUAAGGAAUAUAAAUAUCAGUGAGCUCCCAAAGGAAAUAGGAGAUCUAAAAUUCUUACAGAUGUUGGAGAUGAAGGAUUGCAACAAACUACUGAAACUGCCACAGAGUAUUGGUCAAUUAAGUCAACUCAAGUGCCUGCGUGUUUACGCGGACCGGUUUUCGAUGCUGCAAUGUCUGGAAGACACAGCACUAGACUGGAUCAGAAACCUGACAUCUCUGGAAGAGUUAUGCUUAUUGAACGUCAGUGAGUCCUCAAACUUUGUGAAUGAUCUCGGAAAGCUGACAGAGUUGAGGAAGCUUUGCAUUGUAUCUUUACGGUUGAAGAGUGCGAGCUUGAUAAAAGAUUGGGAGGAGUCUCUAGCCAAACUGCAGAAAAUUCAGGUCAUAGACAUUGGUUGGUUUAUAUAUAAAGAAGAAGGUGAUGCCACCUACUGCCGAGAAGGCUAUGUCCCCCCUCGCCAACUCCGUGUUCUGCAUAUGCAGUACAAACAACCUGGGCUGCCUAUAAAGAUUAGUCCAUCUCUUCAACCAAACCUCUCCCACUUAUCAUUACAAGUGAAUGUUCUAGAUGUGGAGAUCUUUGGAAGGUUCCCAGAGCUCGUUACUCUCCAGCUGGAUGUGAAUACUUAUCACUAUGAUGUCACGGGAGCUCCAGGUGCAUUCCCCAAGUUGAGAGCUUUCAAGACGGACGGAACGCCCCGUUUCCUUGGAGUAAUGCCAAAUCUUGAAUAUCUCGAGUUCGUCGUCUCAGUUAUGGACCUCAACACUAAACCUGACUUUGGUAGCUUGGUGAAUCUCCCUAUGCUUCGGAGAGUCGUAAUUCUAGUAUGGUACAACUUCAAUGAAUUCGAUUCAGAGAAGGCUAAGGAUGUGGUGAGGGAGGCAAUCUUUUCCGGCCCCAGUGGUUUCACAUUUGAACUGAAGACGUACUAA